Molecule: ribosomal RNA, 253 nt
Filed under: uncultured bacterium
Lineage: Bacteria
Description: partial 16S ribosomal RNA
Rfam family: Bacterial small subunit ribosomal RNA
Source: RNAcentral
UACGUAAGGGGCAAGCGUUAUCCGGAAUUAUUGGGCGUAAAGCGUCCGCAGGUUGUAUGGUAGGUUUGGAGUUAAAUACCAGUGCUCAACAUUGGUGCUGCUUCAAAAACCCCCAUGCUAGAGGUCGGUAGAGGUAUGUGGAAUGAUGCAAGUAGGGGUAAAAUCCGUAGAUAUGCAUUGGAACACCAAAAGCGAAGGCAGCAUACUGGGCCGUACCUGACACUCAUGGACGAAAGCGUGGGGAGCAAACAGG